UACGUAGGGUGCGAGCGUUAAUCGGAAUUACUGGGCGUAAAGCGUGCGCAGGCGGUUUUGUAAGUCAGAUGUGAAAUCCCCGGGCUCAACCUGGGAACUGCGUUUGAAACUACAAGGCUAGAGUGUAGCAGAGGGGGGUAGAAUUCCACGUGUAGCAGUGAAAUGCGCAGAUAUCGGGAAGAACACCCGUGGCGAAGGCGGCUCUCUGGGACGGUACUGGACGCGUGAGACGCGAAAGCGUGGGGAGCGAAC
Molecule: ribosomal RNA, 252 nt
Filed under: uncultured bacterium
Lineage: Bacteria
Description: partial 16S ribosomal RNA
Rfam family: Bacterial small subunit ribosomal RNA
Source: RNAcentral